This 458-nucleotide ribosomal RNA is filed under the name uncultured bacterium. RNAcentral's name for it is "partial 16S ribosomal RNA". It matches the Rfam family "Bacterial small subunit ribosomal RNA", at positions 355 to 805 of the family's 1533-position model. The record is from RNAcentral.
UAGGGAAUCUUCGGCAAUGGACGAAAGUCUGACCGAGCAACGCCGCGUGAGUGAAGAAGGUUUUCGGAUCGUAAAACUCUGUUGGUAGAGAAGAACGUUGGUGAGAGUGGAAAGCUCAUCAAGUGACGGUAACUACCCAGAAAGGGACGGCUAACUACGUGCCAGCAGCCGCGGUAAUACGUAGGUCCCGAGCGUUGUCCGGAUUUAUUGGGCGUAAAGCGAGCGCAGGUGGUUUAUUAAGUCUGGUGUAAAAGGCAGUGGCUCAACCAUUGUAUGCAUUGGAAACUGGUAGACUUGAGUGCAGGAGAGGAGAGUGGAAUUCCAUGUGUAGCGGUGAAAUGCGUAGAUAUAUGGAGGAACACCGGUGGCGAAAGCGGCUCUCUGGCCUGUAACUGACACUGAGGCUCGAAAGCGUGGGGAGCAAACAGGAUUAGAUACCCUGGUAGUCCACGCCGUAA